RNAcentral lists this ribosomal RNA (499 nucleotides) under uncultured bacterium. RNAcentral's name for it is "partial 16S ribosomal RNA". It matches the Rfam family "Bacterial small subunit ribosomal RNA", at positions 28 to 507 of the family's 1533-position model. The record is from RNAcentral.
GGCGAACGCUGGCGGCGUGCCUAAUACAUGCAAGUCGAGCGAAGUUUUUCUGGUGCUUGCACUAGAAAAACUUAGCGGCGAACGGGUGAGUAACACGUAAAGAACCUGCCUCAUAGACUGGGACAACUAUUGGAAACGAUAGCUAAUACCGGAUAACAGUAUUUCUCGCAUGAGAGAUAUUUAAAAGUUGGUUAUGCUAACACUAUGAGAUGGCUUUGCGGUGCAUUAGCUAGUUGGUGGGGUAAAGGCCCACCAAGGCGACGAUGCAUAGCCGACCUGAGAGGGUGAUCGGCCACACUGGGACUGAGACACGGCCCAGACUCCUACGGGAGGCAGCAGUAGGGAAUCUUCCGCAAUGGGCGAAAGCCUGACGGAGCAACGCCGCGUGAGUGAAGAAGGAUUUCGGUUCGUAAAGCUCUGUUGUUAGGGAAGAAUGGAUAUGUAGUAACUAUACAUGUAAGAGACGGUACCUAACCAGAAAGCCACGGCUAACUACGUG